GUGCUUGCUUUGGCAGCAUAUAUACUAAAACUGAAACCAUUCAGAGAAGAUUAGCAUGGUCCUGCACAAGGAUGACAUGCAAAUGUGUGAAGUGUUCCAUACUGGG
Molecule: small nuclear RNA, 106 nt
Filed under: Sciurus vulgaris (Eurasian red squirrel)
Lineage: Eukaryota; Metazoa; Chordata; Mammalia; Rodentia; Sciuridae
Source: RNAcentral